Molecule: long non-coding RNA, 755 nt
Filed under: Homo sapiens (human)
Lineage: Eukaryota; Metazoa; Chordata; Mammalia; Primates; Hominidae
Description: non-protein coding lnc-ZSWIM7-5:1
Source: RNAcentral
GACGAUGAAAGAACUGGUCAGUCGACUCAAAAUAGGUAGGAAAACCCUUGAGGUUUCACCUGGACUAAGGAGCCAAGGGUGAGAUGGUGUCUGAUGUUGAAGGACAUGCGGAGCCUCAAGGACGCAGCUUCUGCCACUGCUGCUGCCCGGGCAGCACUGUCUGAUGACGUGACUCCUGGAUCCACGGGGCGCGCAUGGGUCAAGUGGCAGUAACACAGUGGUUUUUUUUGUUGUUGUUUGUUUGUUUUAACUAUGUAUAUAGUGAAUACCUGAGGCAACUUUUUUUCUGAUAGAAAUUGGCAGCUUUUGCUCCUUCUCCUGAAUGAAGUCAUGAGUUAACAAGUUUCUGUUUAGGUAAGUCCCAGGUUAGCCUUUGAAACACAAUCUAAUAUUUCACAUAUUACAAUAGUAGGCCUGGAAAAUCCCCAGAGAGGAGUCACGUCUCUUCGGAGCCCUACGAGCCCAUCUCCCCACCCCAGGUUCCGGUUGUGCAUGAGAAACAGGACAGCUUGCUGCUCUUGUCUCAGAGGGGCGCAGAGCCUGCAGAGCAGAGGAAUGAUGCCCGCUCACCAGGGAGUAUAAGCUACUUGCCUUCAUUCUUCACCAAGCUUGAAAAUACAUCACCCAUGGUUAAAUCAAAGAAGCAGGAGAUUUUUCGUAAGUUGAACUCCUCUGGUGGAGGUGACUCUGAUAUGGGUAAGUGGGAUUUCUUUCAUGAACCCCAAAUAAAACAUGCAUUAAUAAUGAUAUCUCCA